This 492-nucleotide ribosomal RNA is filed under the name uncultured bacterium. RNAcentral's name for it is "partial 16S ribosomal RNA". It matches the Rfam family "Bacterial small subunit ribosomal RNA", at positions 29 to 507 of the family's 1533-position model. The record is from RNAcentral.
AGUGAACGCUGGCGGUAGGCCUAACACAUGCAAGUCGAACGGCAGCACAGUAAGAGCUUGCUCUUACGGGUGGCGAGUGGCGGACGGGUGAGGAAUACAUCGGAAUCUACUUUUUCGUGGGGGAUAACGUAGGGAAACUUACGCUAAUACCGCAUACGACCUACGUGUGAAAUCAUGGGAUCUUCGGACCUUGCGCGAUUGAAUGAGCCGAUGUCGGAUUAGCUAGUUGGCGGGGUAAAGGCCCACCAAGGCGACGAUCCGUAGCUGGUCUGAGAGGAUGAUCAGCCACACUGGAACUGAGACACGGUCCAGACUCCUACGGGAGGCAGCAGUGGGGAAUAUUGGACAAUGGGCGCAAGCCUGAUCCAGCCAUACCGCGUGGGUGAAGAAGGCCUUCGGGUUGUAAAGCCCUUUUGUUGGGAAAGAAAAGCAGCAGGUUAAUACCCCGCUGUUCUGACGGUACCAAAAGAAUAAGCACCGGCUAACUUCGUG